ACUUGUGCCUCUCUCAAGGGCCUGUUUGAUCUUUAAUACAGCUCGUGUUCCUCCAGCAUCACUUGAGGGUCUUGGAGAAUAUUCUCACUGCUGGGUUAUAUAUGUUUUCCAUCAAAAUACAAAUCUAGAGAAGCUUUGGAAAGAUCCAACUAAGUCAAAGUUCAAGGCCAAGGUUGACUGGAUGGAUAGGUAAGAGUGCCAACACUAAACGGUGAAAGGAAGGGACUCUUUGCAACAAGAUCUCCACACAGGCCAUCCCCCAUUGGA
Non-coding RNA from Prunus avium (sweet cherry), 267 nucleotides. The record is from RefSeq and is a predicted model, not a curated record. Lineage: Eukaryota; Viridiplantae; Streptophyta; Magnoliopsida; Rosales; Rosaceae.